RNAcentral lists this ribosomal RNA (189 nucleotides) under uncultured rumen bacterium. Its description in RNAcentral is "partial 16S ribosomal RNA". It matches the Rfam family "Bacterial small subunit ribosomal RNA", at positions 338 to 524 of the family's 1533-position model. The record is from RNAcentral.
CCUACGGGAGGCAGCAGUGAGGAAUAUUGGUCAAUGGUCGGGAGACUGAACCAGCCAAGUAGCGUGAGGGACGGCGGCCCUAUGGGUUGUAAACCUCUUUUGUUUGGGAAUAAAGUGCGGGACGCGUCCCGCUUUGUAUGUACCAUGCGAAUAAGCAUCGGCUAAUUCCGUGCCAGCAGCCGCGGUAAU